GGAGGGUACAAGCGUUAAUCGGAAUUACUGGGCGUAAAGCGCGCGUAGGCGGUUAAGUAAGUUGGGAUGUGAACGCCCUGGGCUCAACCUAGGAACUGCAUUCAAAACUAUUUAACUAGAGUACGAGAGAGGAGAGUAGAAUUUCUGGUGUAGCGGUGAAAUGCGUAGAUAUCAGAAGGAAUACCAAUGGCGAAGGCAGCUCUCUGGAUCGUCACUGACGCUAAGGUGCGAAAGCGUGGGUAGCAAACAGGAUUAGAUACCCUGGUAGUCCACGCCGUAAACGAUGAGAACUAGCCGUUGGGGAGAAUUAACUCUCCAGUGGCACAGCUAACGCAUUAAGUUCUCCGCCUGGGGACUACGGCCGCAAGGCUAAAACUCAAAUGAAUUGACGGGGGCCCGCACAAGCGGUGGAUCAUGUGGUUUAAUUCGAUGCAACGCGAAGAACCUUACCUACCCUUGAAAUCCAGCGAAGUUCCUAGAGAUAGGAAUGUGCCUUCGGGAACGCUGUGACAGGUGUUGCAUGGCUGUCGUCAGCUCGUGUCGUGAGAUGUAUGGUUAAGUCCAGUAACGAGCGCAACCCCUAUCCUUAUUUGCCAGCGCAUAAUGGCGGGAACUAUAAGGAGACUGCCGGUCAUAAACCGGAGGAAGGCGGGGACGACGUCAAGUCAUCAUGGCCCUUAUGGGUAGGGCUACACACGUGAUACAAUGGGUGGUACAGAGGGUCGCCAAAGCGCGAGCUGGAGCCAAACCCUUAAAACCAUUCUUAGUCCGGAUUGGAGUCUGCAACUCGACUCCAUGAAGUUGGAAUCGCUAGUAAUCGCGAAUCAGAAUGUCGCGGUGAAUACGUUCUCGGGCCUU
This 858-nucleotide ribosomal RNA is filed under the name uncultured organism. RNAcentral describes it as "bacterial SSU rRNA". It matches the Rfam family "Bacterial small subunit ribosomal RNA", at positions 527 to 1382 of the family's 1533-position model. The record is from RNAcentral.